Molecule: ribosomal RNA, 230 nt
Filed under: uncultured bacterium
Lineage: Bacteria
Description: partial 16S ribosomal RNA
Rfam family: Bacterial small subunit ribosomal RNA
Source: RNAcentral
AAAGCGUGCGCAGGCGGUUAUGUAAGACAGAUGUGAAAUCCCCGGGCUCAACCUGGGAACUGCAUUAGUGACUGCAUAGCUGGAGUACGGCAGAGGGGGAUGGAAUUCCGCGUGUAGCAGUGAAAUGCGUAGAUAUGCGGAGGAACACCGAUGGCGAAGGCAAUCCCCUGGGCCUGUACUGACGCUCAUGCACGAAAGCGUGGGGAGCAAACAGGAUUAGAUAACCUGGU